GACGAACGCUGGCGGCGUGCCUAACACAUGCAAGUCGAACGGAAAGGCCCGGCUUUUGUGGGGUUCUCGAGUGGCGAAGGGGGGAGUGAAACGCGAGUAACAUGCCCUUGACUUUGGGAUAACUUCAGGAAACUGGGGCUAUUACCGGAUAGGAGCUCCUGCUGCAUGGUGGGCAUUGGAAAGAUUCGGCGGUUGGGGAUGGACUCGCGGCUUAUCAGCUUGUUGGUGGGGUAGUUGCGUACCAAGGUUUUGACGGGUAGCCGGCAUGAGAGGGUGACCGGCCACAUUGGGACUGAGAUACGGCCCAGACUCCUACGGGAGGCAGCAGUGGGGAAUAUUGCACAAUGGGCGGAAGCCUGAUGCAGCAACGCCGCGUGCGGGAUGACGGCCUUCGGGUUGUAAACCGCUUUCGCCUGUGACGAAGCGUGAGUGACGGUAAUGGGUAAAGAAGCACCGGCUAACUACGUG
Molecule: ribosomal RNA, 468 nt
Filed under: uncultured bacterium
Lineage: Bacteria
Description: partial 16S ribosomal RNA
Rfam family: Bacterial small subunit ribosomal RNA
Source: RNAcentral